GGUCCGUGCGUCAGCUGAGAGCAGAGGGAAGGUGCCCAUUAAAUGAAAACGCAUUUAACAUGCAGGAGGUGGCUGUUACCUGUCCAUCAGGUUUGCAGCAUAAAGCCAAUAUGAUAUGAAACUUUGAAUGGCACGCAAAGAAAAUAAUGCAAAGGAUUGUAAGUGUUUCCAUAGGCAAAACAAUAAAUCCAGAUGGCAUGCUGGAUCAACCCGAGCCGAUGAAAAAUAACAGUGGAGGGCCAAAAAGGCUGAAAAAAAAAAUUGUAUGAAGGUGGCGAUAGAAUAAGAAUUUCACACCUACAGUACCUACCACACAUGGCUUUCACACAUCGGAUAGGGCUUGGAGAGAAAGCCCAGAUGAACACAAAUGUAAAUGUACCAUUUUAGUAUACAUGACAUUAGGUAAUGUUAUUGUCUUAUGCUUUUCACUGUAAUAUCUGUAUCUUCCGGUUUCAUAAUAAACAUUCAACAAUGCACCCAAACAAAGAAUACUGCAUUUGAGUUUUUUUU
RNAcentral lists this long non-coding RNA (510 nucleotides) under Sinocyclocheilus grahami. Its description in RNAcentral is "lncRNA (ENSSGRG00000055285.1)". Lineage: Eukaryota; Metazoa; Chordata; Actinopteri; Cypriniformes; Cyprinidae. The record is from RNAcentral.